AUUUUUAAAAAGAAUUUUAUUUUUUUUGAUAUAAUAUUUUAUUUUAAUGAAAUUAUUUAAAGAAAUUUAAUUUUAGUAAUAUAGAUAAAUUAUUAAUUAAAAUUGUGCCAGCAAUUGCGGUUAAACAAUUAAUAUAAAUAAAUUUUAUGAUAGAUUUUAAAUUAUUUAUUAAAAUUAGAUAAAUUGAAAGUUAUUUUAGUUAUUCUUUUUAAAUUAAUUUAGUAAAAUAAAAUAAUUUAAUAAUUUAAUAAAAAAUAUAAAAAAUUUAAAAAAAAUUAUUAAUAAACUAGGAUUAGAUACCCUAUUAUAAAUUUAAUUAUUAAAAAAAAUGUAGAAUUAAAUUAGUAAAAUUAAAAAUUUGAAAAUUAAAGAAUUUGACGGUAUUUAAAUCAAUUUAGAGGAAUUUGUUUAGUAAUUGAUAACCCACAAUUUAUUAUACUUAUAUUAAAAAAUUUGUAUAUCGUUGUUAUAAAAAAAUUUUUAUUUAAAUUAAAAUUUUUUAAAAUUUUUAAAUAAAUUUAUAUCAAAUCAAGAUACAGUUUAUUGAUAAGAAGAAUUAAUUAAUGAAUUACGAUAAUAAUUUAUAAAUUAUGUAAAUUUAUUGAAAAUAAAAUUAUUAAAUUGGAUUUAAAUGUAAUAAAAAAUAAAUAUUUUUUAUGAUUUUUGUUUUUAAAUAAGUACAUAUUGCCCGUCACUCUCAAAAAUUAUAAUAUAAUUGAGAUAAGUCGUAACAUAGUAGAAGUAUUGGAAAAUGUUUCUAGAUUGAUAAAAUUUUUAUUUAGAUUAAUAAGUUAAGAAAAUUAAUUUUAUUAUUAGAUAUUAUUAUUAUAUAAAUUAAA
Molecule: non-coding RNA, 839 nt
Filed under: Hydropsyche simulans
Lineage: Eukaryota; Metazoa; Arthropoda; Insecta; Trichoptera; Hydropsychidae
Source: RNAcentral